CCCUUAGAUGUUCUGGGCCGCACGCGCGCUACACUGAUGCAUUCAACGAGCCUAUCCUUGACCGACAGGUCCGGGUAAUCUUUGAAUCUGCAUCGUGACGGGGAUAGAUUAUUGCAAUUAUUAAUCUUCAACGAGGAAUGCCUAGUAGGCGCAAGUCAUCAGCUUGCGUCGAUUACGUCCCUGCCCUUUGUACACACCGCCCGUCGCUCCUACCGAUUGGAUGGUCCGGUGAAGCCUCGGGAUUGUGGUUCUUGCCGCUUUAUUGUGGCGUGACCGCGAGAACUUGUCUAAACCUUAUCAUCUAGAGGAAGGUGAAGUCGUAACA
Molecule: ribosomal RNA, 325 nt
Filed under: uncultured eukaryote
Lineage: Eukaryota
Description: partial 18S ribosomal RNA
Rfam family: Eukaryotic small subunit ribosomal RNA
Source: RNAcentral